GACGAACGCUGGCGGCGUGCUUAACACAUGCAAGUCGAGCGGUAAGGCCCUUUCGGGGGUACACGAGCGGCGAACGGGUGAGUAACACGUGGGUGACCUGCCCUCAGCUCUGGGAUAAGCCUGGGAAACCGGGUCUAAUACUGGAUAUGACUCCAUGACGCAUGUUGUGGGGUGGAAAGCCUUGUGCGGCUGAGGAUGGGCCCGCGGCCUAUCAGCUUGUUGGUGGGGNGAUGGCCUACCAAGGCGACGACGGGUAGCCGGCCUGAGAGGGCGACGGCCNCACUGGGACUGAGACACGGCCCAGACUCCUACGGGAGGCAGCAGUGGGGAAUCUUGCGCAAUGGGCGAAAGCCUGACGCAGCGACGCCGCGUGAGGGAUGACGGCCUGG
Molecule: ribosomal RNA, 389 nt
Filed under: uncultured bacterium
Lineage: Bacteria
Description: bacterial SSU rRNA
Rfam family: Bacterial small subunit ribosomal RNA
Source: RNAcentral